Molecule: ribosomal RNA, 497 nt
Filed under: uncultured bacterium
Lineage: Bacteria
Description: partial 16S ribosomal RNA
Rfam family: Bacterial small subunit ribosomal RNA
Source: RNAcentral
GAUGAACGCUGGCGGCGUGCCUAAUACAUGCAAGUCGAGCGAACAGACGAGGAGCUUGCUCCUCUGACGUUAGCGGCGGACGGGUGAGUAACACGUGGAUAACCUACCUAUAAGACUGGGAUAACUUCGGGAAACCGGAGCUAAUACCGGAUAAUAUAUUGAACCGCAUGGUUCAAUAGUGAAAGACGGUUUUGCUGUCACUUCUAGAUGGAUCCGCGCCGCAUUAGCUAGUUGGUAAGGUAACGGCUUACCAAGGCAACGAUGCGUAGCCGACCUGAGAGGGUGAUCGGCCACACUGGAACUGAGACACGGUCCAGACUCCUACGGGAGGCAGCAGUAGGGAAGCUUCCGCAAUGGGCGAAAGCCUGACGGAGCAACGCCGCGUGAGUGAUGAAGGUCUUCGGAUCGUAAAACUCUGUUAUUAGGGAAGAACAAAUGUGUAAGUAACUAUGCACGUCUUGACGGUACCUAAUCAGAAAGCCACGGCUAACUACGUG